This 5404-nucleotide long non-coding RNA is filed under the name Sus scrofa (pig). RNAcentral's name for it is "lncRNA (ENSSSCG00050010291.1)". Lineage: Eukaryota; Metazoa; Chordata; Mammalia; Artiodactyla; Suidae. The record is from RNAcentral.
GUCACAUUUUGUUAAUUCUUAAAAUAUUUUAAGCUUUUUCAUUAUUAUAUUUAUUAUGGUGAUAAGUGAUCAAUGAUCAUUGAUGUUAUUACUGCAAAAAAUUAUGACUUCCCAAAGGCCCAGAUAAUGGUUAGCGUUUUUUUUUUAGCAAUAAAGUAUUUUUAAGAAAGAAAGGGAGAAAUAAAGAAGGAAAGGAAGAAAGAGAAAGAAAAGGAAAAUCGAGGAGGCAAGUUUAUUAGCAUUUGUUAGAAAAAAUUUUUGUUUUUGCAUCAUAUAGAUUACCAUUAUUGCAUGAAACAAUAAUGUGUAUUUACAGAUAGUCCUACUGAUUUUAAAGUUUUAUAUUUUUCAGAAGUUGAAUAUUUAAGGAAUAGUAAAAUGUUUUUCUCUAAUAUUAUAAAAAUCCUUACGUUCAUGCAGUGAAUAAGAUACCAGAAAAUUUUGUCUGCUAGGUAUACUCCAAUAAUUUAUUAUACAGAAUAGGUUUAUUAGAUACAUGAUAGAUGAAGACAAAAUAAACAGAAAUAUUUGAAAAAUUGGUAUUAAAAUAAACAGAAAAAUAAACUUUAUUCAGUAAAGUCUUAUUAAACUGUUAUUGAUAUAAACAGAAAAAUUUGAAAUACCUCCUUUUCUUUAAUUAUUCUACAAUAUUUUAAUAAAAAUUUUAUAAUCAUUAAGUGGCUCAUUCAAAAUCUAUUUCCUGUAUUUCACAUUUCAAAGUAAUAUUCAUUCUAUGAAACUGAUAAUGAGAGCAGCAAACACAAACUUUUGAAAUGUAGCAAAAUAGUUGAGAAAAUGUCUAAUAAAAAUUACAAAGAAAAAUUUUGUCUCAUAGCAGAAUAAUGGACUCUAGUGAAGAAAACUGAGAGCACCAUGUCAGUGAAUGAACUAUAUUUUCAUAAUCUUUGAUCAUCCUCUUUUUGGUUUCCUAUGCACAUACUGAUUAUACUUCUCCUUUUCAAGUGACACAUUCAGCAUAACCUGAAAUGAUUAAUUAUAUUUAGUGUCUCUGUUGUCAUCCUGAAAUACUGUUCAUUUCAACGAGAUUUUAGUGAAUAAUCAUUAAAAAGUUGUAACUAAAAACUUCCUCUAGGGUUGCGUAAAUCAGCUUGCUUUUGGUGUUAUUUUGUGUUCUCUCUGAAGAAAAUAUUUGAAAUGAGAACAGCAAUAUAGUUAAUAAAAAAUGCAGAUGUAAAGGAGUAAUGGUUAAAGUUUAAAGUACUUAGAUAUUAGGGGCCAGGCAAAGGGUGAGGAAGUCCUAGUGAAUGUUGUUUUUAGGUCACUGUUCUGAAUUUCAUGCAGUUUAGAGGUCUUGGUAAGACAUUAUCAUCUAAAAACUAGAAAUAUGAUAUUAACCAUAUCCUAACAGCAGUGGAAAUGAAUGAGAAAUGUAUGAGAAAGAGCAUGAUGAGGCCUGAAUUUGUAAUAUUCAUCCACGUUUGAUAAUCUGUAAACACAAUAUAUGGUGAAAAUGGUUACAUGUAAUCAUGGAAACAUGAAGGAAAAAUGAAUGAAUUCUACAUUGCAAUUUAAGAAAUUAAGUUUAGGGAAUUCCCCUUGUGACUCAGUGGAUUACAAACCUGACCAGUAUACAUGAGCACAAGAGUUCGAUCCCUGGCCUCGCUCAGUGGGGCUAAAGGAUCCAGCAUUGCUGUGAGCUGUGGUGUAAGUCACAGAUACGGCUCAGAUCCCACAAUGCUGUAGCUGCAGCAUAGGCCAGCAGCUGCAGCUCCAAUUCAACCCCUAGCCUGUGAACUUCUAUGUGCUGCAGGUAGAGCCCUAAAGAGCAAACAAAAUUAAAACGUUUUUAAAAAGACAUCAAGUUUUAGGAAUUCCCAUGUAGCUCAGAGGAUUAAGGAGCUGGCAUUGUCACUGCUGUGGCUCUGAUUACAGCUGUGUGUAUAAUCCUAGCAUGGCCAAAAAAAGAAAGACAUUAACUUUAGAAGAUAUGUUAAGGCAACAGAACACAUUUUAGACAAAGAAUCACCACUGAAAUUCUGAGAAUUCUUAGGGGAACAUUAAGAAUGGCAGUUCCUAAGUCCCCAACCUGAAGAAGAGUAAUAGAAAAGGAAUUAUCUGCUUCCCAUGGAAUUCAAAUGCUUACCCUCAUGCUGAAAUAUAUGGUCAAAAAAGACACAUUUACCAUGUUUAUCCAUAUAAGCAUAUAUGUGAUCAACGAAUACUGACAAAUGUACUUCUAAACCAGUCAAAAACUAAAGUUAAUCAGUGAUUUCUCAUAAUACAUUUGAGUCCAAAAUAUAUUAUUCACCACUUGUGAUAUGCUAGGAAAAUUUUUAGAUAAAAACUAAUACUAGCAAGUCUCAAAGUUCAUGAAUCAAAAAGAUCCUAUUUUGACUAGAAGAAAUGAAACAGAUACCUGCAAAAUAAGUAAUUGUAUGAAUAAAUUUUAUAAUAGAGCAAGAGUAUGUUUUAAAAGGGUUCUGAUAUAUUAGCAGAUUAGAAGAUCAGGAGACAUAGAAGAUGUAUAUCCUCCUUCCUAUCUUUAUUUCUGCAGGGCCAGGUUCGAUCCCUGGCCAGCACAGUGGGUUAAAAGAUCUGGCAGUGCCAUAGUCACAACUAGAAUCUGAUCCCUGACCUGGGACUCCAUACGCUCAGGAUGGAAAAAAAAAAAAAGAAAAGAAGAUGUUAAAAUGUUAGACUCUAUUAACACAGCCAUAGCCAAUUUUAACUGUUACUCAAAAUUGAAAGACAUUGAAAGUCACGAGCAUUCUAUUAUAGGGCCUAAUUGUUGCUGCCUUUUUUGUUUUUGUUGUUUUCAUUCAAAAUCCAUAUUAGUUCAAUAUAAAUUUUUAUGAAUUCUAAUAAAAAUAACAACAUUUUGUCUGCAUUAGUUUCUAAUCAUCUUUGGAUACGUGAAAGACAACAGUCUUUGAUGCCAUGUGAAUGGGUUUGACAUAAUUUUCAAGUUAGCAAUGUGCUUAUGGGCAAUUUAAACUCCCUGAACCUGAUCUUUCUUCUCUCAAAUGAAUAUAAUACUUUUCUCAUAUGUUGCUAUCAUAAAAGACUGUUAUCAUAAAAGACUGUUAUAUAUGUAGCAUAUAAGUACUAAAUAAAUUUACUAUUGUGUACAACAAUUAACCCAAUAUUUUAAAGAAAAUGACACUUUUUCUAGUGUGUCAUUUUCUAGGUGAAACUACAAAAUUUGACCUGAUGGUCAUCUCAGAAGAGGCAAUUACCAAGUGGGUCACAUAGAAAGACGUGGAGGGGCGUUCCCGUCGUGGCGCAGUGGUAACUAAGUGUCUGGUAGAAAUAGAAAUUCACCUCCCUUUAAAGAAAGGAGCUGCCUACCUGAGGGAAAUGCAGUCCGCACAGACUCCAGCUUUCAGCUCCUUCAGGCUAAGCUUCACAGAGCCAACUGACCAAAUGUCCAUCCUUUCCCUGGUCAAUUCACCUUCAGGGACUGAAUGAGGCAGGGUAAUGGCCCAGAGUUUUUGCCUCCCCCAAAAACACUCAGGAAGGCAAUAUUGCUACAGAGCUUUUGGUACCUUGAAUGAGGCUUUGUCAGGCAGUAUUACAGUUCCAAUCAUACACUGUCUGAUCCUGCCAGAUCCCAUCCUGCCCACUUUCCUUUCACAGAUGUUGAUCACAAGGUGUUGACAUGCGGCACUCCAAACUCUGUCACAUCUGCUUCUGAAGAACCUUAAAUAUGACAGUUUAGCCAGAAGUGAUUGAAAACGGCAAUAAGGUUUUACAGCUAAAUCACCAUCCACCUGGACAGAAUAAAGAUCCUCAUCAUUCUUGAUAGCUGCAGUCCAAGCAGUCCCUGGCACAAGAUGGUGGUUCAGUUGCUAAAACCAGAGAGGAAUCUUGGUCUCUGGGUGGAAGAAAGUGCAUUAGCAGUCUUGCCAUGAAUUUGAGACAUAGGAAAAAAAUAGUAGAUGUUAGGAAGUGGUAUUAUGUAAGAGACAGAGUGAGCAUUUGAGACAAAGAAACUAGCACUUGAAAGACAAGUAUGGAAGCCUGAGGGUCACUUUGGUUACAUAUGAAAAUCUCGAAUUUCCUCUAAGGGAAGGGAGAGAAAGCUGAAAAAAUUAGAAAUGUGGUUAAACUUCAAAGAUAGCUAAGCACCCAGCCAAAGUAAGUAUAUCAUGCCAAGAUCAGAGCUCUGGCAGGGAAAAAAGAAACCCUCACACAUAAAUCUUAUAAACCUUGUGAGCCUAUAGAUGCAGACGGUCUAUCCAUCCUUGAUAAGAGUUAACACUUCCUCUAAACUGAAAAAUAAUGCAGAGGCUUCUCUCUUCCAAAGCAAAAAUCUCUAGGGAUUAUUAGAAUUUACCUGGCCAAAUAUCCUGAACGAAGUUGUUGGGUUUUUUGGUUUGUUGUUUUGUUUGUUUUUUUUUUUGUUUUGUUUUCCCUUAGAUUAAAUACGUAAGUCAUAUUCCUUUACUACUACAAACAAAUCUAUAGGUAAUUGUAUUAGUCGGAAAUCAUUAGUAAUACUAGUGUUAAUCCAUUAACUUUUUUGUCUUUUGUCUUUUUAGGGCCACACCCAUGGCACAGGGGGGUUCCCAGGCUAGGGGUUGAACCAGAUCUGUAGCUCCUAGCCUAUCCACCGCCACGGCAAUGUGGGAUCCGAGCCACAGCUGUGACCAGCACCACAGCUCACAGCAAUGCCAGAUCCUUAACCCACUGAGCAAGGCUAAGGAUCGAACCACAUCCUCAUGGAUACUAGUUGAGUUUGUUAACCACUGAGCCACACGGGAACUCCCAAUCCAUUAACUUUUAAAAGAAUAUACCCACAACUGAUUUGUUUCGCAAGUAACAUAAAGACAUUUAUUUUUAAAUUAUCAAUAAAGUAAUUGUUUACAUUUAUUUAAAAAAAUGUAAACAACAAAAAACCCUUGAACGUCACCCCUCAGGACCUACCCACCAUUUUGUCCAAUUAGUCUAUGACUCAUGUUAUAUUACAGAAUAACCCAAGUGAGAGCAACCUCAGUCUCAGAAGAAAGGAAUGGACUAAAACAUUUUGUAUUAACAAAAGCAAUGUUAAUACUUAGCUAGCUUUUACCUGGAAGGAACCAUAGGAGAACACAUGAAAAUAUUUUCUUAGAAUGCUUAAUUAAGAGAUCUGUAAAAUAAAAUUGAAUAGGGAAGAUUUCCUGACUCAGGCGCACUGUCCUAAAGUCUACUAUGUAAUAAAUACUUAGGACAACAUACAAUGGUGUGACUCAUUAUGAUGAUGGCUCAUAGAGUUGUUAAAAAAGCAAUGUCUUUCAUGAGUAAGUCUGUAAUCCAGAUGAUGGAAAAAAUAGUGUGAAAAAAAUGUUGAAAGAAGACAAAAUCUUUUUCAAAGCAUGGAAUCAAAGGGAAUAUUCCCAAAUUCAUUCUUUAAACCCAUUGCUACCCUAAUACAAAACCCAGACCAAAACCUUAUAAAAAAUAA